Ictalurus furcatus (blue catfish) is the source of this 2098-nucleotide long non-coding RNA. RefSeq lists it as uncharacterized. The transcript is spliced from 2 exons. The record is from RefSeq and is a predicted model, not a curated record. NCBI's taxonomy places the organism in Eukaryota, Metazoa, Chordata, Actinopteri, Siluriformes, Ictaluridae.
UUUCUGAAGCAUACUACGUCGUUCGUAUAGGCGAUAUAACUGACGGUCCGCACCGUCAGAGAGAAUGAUGUGUUGCUAUAGUAACGGCGCCAAACAGCCGACGUAAUGACAGGCGAACGCAUAGGCAGGAAAGAAUAAAAUCAGACAUCCCAGGGGAGUUUCCGGGACUCCUCUUCCAGCUGUGGGACUCCACGAUUGUCGCCACAUCCUCAAACCUGAUUUGUCAGAUGGUGCCGAUUCAUUUUCUAUAACAGCUCAUUCGCAGGGACGUGUACAGCAGACGCACCACAUAAACAUGUUAAAAAAUAGUUUUCCGUAAGGAGAAAUGUGUUUAUUGAACGUGUACGGAAGGAGUCUCCAGUGUCAGCGCUUCGUAACAGUCGGAGGUAACAUGGCACGAGGGAACAGCUGUUUAUAGCCGCUAUAAAGUAAGUGAGAACAGGAACAAACUCGUUUCACAUUUCGCAACCUCACACUCUUAGAAAUAAAAAAGAACCAAAAAGGGAUUUUUUUUUCCAGCCAGAUGCCAUAGGAGAAGCCUUUUAAAUCGGAAAAAAAAUAACCUUUUACUCUUAAAUUCUUUAAAGAGCCAUCUAUUUACUGGUGCUUUAAAGAACCCAGAAAUGGUUCUUCACAGCAGUGCCACAAGGAACCAUGCUAUCAUAAGUUCUCUUAAAACCCUUAUUAGUGCUUUAAAGAACCAAAAGGAAGGUUCUUAAGCGUGAUGCCUGCCAGGAGAACCUUUUCCAGUCCCACAAAGAACCUUAUAGUGUUCACUUUAACCUGUGAAGCGAUGGCACCUUGAAGGACCUAUAACGAACCAUAAAGAACUUCUUUAACCUCGAAAGAACCAUACAGCUCAACCCAAGAAGCCGAUACAAUGAAAAAAGGUUCGUGACAAGAAGAAGGUUCUUUACAGAACCUACGGUGCUGAAGAACCUUUAUAUUUUUAAGAGUGUAAAUGUAACUAUAAACGAAUAAAAAAAAUACAUUAACAACUGUCAUUGUUGAUAAACUGCUGUGGUAUAAGAGGAAUAAAACACCUGGGGUAACUCCGCUUCAUCGCACCACCUCACCGUUGAUUAUUUUACACUAACGGAACAACACCGAGUGCUUUAUUCCUUAUCUAGUCCCUUCACCUUGAUUACAAACUUUUUAUUAGUUAAUAAUGGGUGGAGAGAAGAUUUCCUCGAAAUGAUAGGGCUGAAGAUUUGUGUGAGAGAGAGACACAGAGAGAGAGAGAGAGACAGACAGACAGAGAGACAGACAGAGAGCCCGCUCUGAUCAGGCCAAAGAGGAAAUAAAUGCGACGUAAAAAGCAAAGCCGUCGAAUUGUAAAUAAUCUGCACCGAGAUGAGGACGGACAACCGCAGGCAAUGGAGGGGGCGGGUGGCUCUAUGCGUGUGUGUGUGUGUGUGUGUGUGUGUGUGCACGUGUGUAAGUGUCACAACAGAAAUCAGCACUUCUGCAACACUGGAUCUGGCCUGGUCGGUCAAGCAGAAAGAAACGAUUCCCGGCUCACAAAGUGAAAUCGUACAUGUCGAGUGGAGGUGCUAGCACGGAAAGGCCUCGGCCAUCGAGUCCACGGAGAUCCGACGGAGGGAAAGUGAGAAAGACGGAGGAGGAACAUCCAAGAGUCAAAAAACCAGGAAGAAGCAAGAUUUUGGUGUAAUAUGGAGUUUACGCGUGAAGCCGAACGGCCGAGUCGUGAUCCAGCGUGGAGCUGGACGGAUUCGGCAGGAGAAUGAGAGAGCAGAUCCGAGUAGUGCUGCCGUGAAGGUUAAAGUAAGACGUCACGUCCAGCAAGUCAUAACGUGAGCACCGAGGAAAGAGUGGAGGAAGGACACAAGUGAAGCAACAGGAACCGUUUCAGUCUCAUCAGUGUUGAGAAUUUUAUUUUAUUUUUUUAAAGUUAUUCCUCAUCCAGGUCUACAUUCUCAGAAAGGAUUAAAGGUGGAUAAUGAAUAGAGCUAGCGCUGUGAGUGAACAUUACCAUGUCAAAUCAGUUUACGUCCUCGCCAAGCAUCCCUGAUGUAGGCUACAAAAGUCCCUCGGCUUUCUUCUCACCAAACAUACGAUUAAAUAACAUUUCUGCGUG